This 30-nucleotide non-coding RNA is filed under the name Rattus norvegicus (Norway rat). The record is from RNAcentral. Lineage: Eukaryota; Metazoa; Chordata; Mammalia; Rodentia; Muridae.
UCCUAGAUCAACUCUGGCCUAAACAGAACA